Molecule: ribosomal RNA, 429 nt
Filed under: Bacteroidota bacterium
Lineage: Bacteria; Pseudomonadati; Bacteroidota
Description: Bacteroidetes bacterium partial 16S ribosomal RNA
Rfam family: Bacterial small subunit ribosomal RNA
Source: RNAcentral
UAGGGAAUCUUCCGCAAUGGACGCAAGUCUGACGGAGCAACGCCGCGUGAGUGAAGAAGGAUUUCGGUUCGUAAAACUCUGUUGUUAGAGAAGAACAGCGCAUAGAGUAACUGUUAUGCGUGUGACGGUAUCUAACCAGAAAGCCACGGCUAACUACGUGCCAGCAGCCGCGGUAAUACGUAGGUGGCAAGCGUUGUCCGGAUUUAUUGGGCGUAAAGCGAGCGCAGGCGGUCAAUUAAGUCUGAUGUGAAAGCCCCCGGCUCAACCGGGGAGGGUUAUUGGAAACUGGUUGACUUGAGUGCAGAAGAGGAGAGUGGAAUUCCAUGUGUAGCGGUGAAAUGCGUAGAUAUAUGGGGGAACACCAGUGGCGAAAGCGGCUCUCUGGUCUGUAACUGACGCUGAGGCUCGAAAGCGUGGGUAGCAAACAGG